UACGGAGGGUGCGAGCGUUGUCCGGAAUCACUGGGCGUAAAGGGCGCGUAGGCGGGAUGGCAAGUCAGUCGUGAAAUCUCUCGGCUCAACCGAGAAACGUCGGCUGAUACUGCCGUUCUUGAGGGAUGCAGAGGAGACUGGAAUUCCUGGUGUAGCGGUGAAAUGCGCAGAUAUCAGGAAGAACACCAAUGGCGAAGGCAGCUCUCUGGGACGGUACUGACGCUGAGACGCGAAAGCGUGGGGAGCGAACAGG
This 253-nucleotide ribosomal RNA is filed under the name uncultured bacterium. RNAcentral describes it as "partial 16S ribosomal RNA". It matches the Rfam family "Bacterial small subunit ribosomal RNA", at positions 524 to 776 of the family's 1533-position model. The record is from RNAcentral.